AGUAAAUCGAAUUGUCAUUUCUAGAAAAGUUUCUGCACAAUAAAAGCAAUACUACGUACAAAAUAUUGAUCUUUAAAAAUAAAAAAUAUUAAUCUGAAAAUUCUGUAAAACUUGUAAGAGUUGGGUUCCUCGUCCACAAAUUGCAGCAUCAUGUAAAAAAUUACAGUUUCCUGUAAUAUAAGCAAAUCGAAUUGUCAUUUUUAGAAAAGUUUUUGCACGAUAAAAGCAAUACUACUUUUACAAUAUUGUUAAAAAUAAAAAAUGUUUAAUCGGAAAAUUCUGUAAGAUUUGUAAAAGUUUGGCCCUUCCACCACAGGUUGCAGCAUUAUGUAAAAAAAAAUACAGUUUCCUGUAAUGUAAGCAAAUCGAAUUGUCGUUUCUAGAAAAGUUUCUGAAAAUAACGUUUCAACUUUUUACGAUCAUAUCGUUCAAAUUUUGUAAUUAUAUCGAUAAAACAAAAUCUAAA
Long non-coding RNA from Tribolium castaneum (red flour beetle), 466 nucleotides. RefSeq lists it as uncharacterized. The transcript is spliced from 3 exons. Lineage: Eukaryota; Metazoa; Arthropoda; Insecta; Coleoptera; Tenebrionidae. The record is from RefSeq and is a predicted model, not a curated record.